This 292-nucleotide ribosomal RNA is filed under the name uncultured bacterium. RNAcentral's name for it is "partial 16S ribosomal RNA". It matches the Rfam family "Bacterial small subunit ribosomal RNA", at positions 505 to 796 of the family's 1533-position model. The record is from RNAcentral.
GUGCCAGCCGCCGCGGUAAUACGGAGGGUGCAAGCGUUAAUCGGAAUUACUGGGCGUAAAGCGUGCGUAGGUGGUUGAUUAAGUUAUCUGUGAAAUCCCUGGGCUUAACCUGGGCAGGUCAGAUGAUACUGGUUGACUCGAGUAUGGGAGAGGGUAGUGGAAUUUCCGGUGUAGCGGUGAAAUGCGUAGAGAUCGGAAGGAACACCAGUGGCGAAGGCGGCUACCUGGCCUAAUACUGACACUGAGGCACGAAAGCGUGGGGAGCAAACAGGAUUAGAUACCCCCGUAGUCC